RNAcentral lists this ribosomal RNA (405 nucleotides) under Triticum aestivum (bread wheat). RNAcentral describes it as "partial small subunit ribosomal RNA". Lineage: Eukaryota; Viridiplantae; Streptophyta; Magnoliopsida; Poales; Poaceae. The record is from RNAcentral.
AUGGUGGUGAUCAGAUACACACGGCAAGUGGAACUGGACUUGGCAACGAGGAGGGUCAUACUUAGAGGAAAGUGUGAGGGAGGCCUAUAUCCACUCAUAUCAUCUUCAUCUUCAUCAUGGUUGAAUAAACAAGCGUGGAGUGUCACCAAACCUUCUUUGGCAAAGUGGCAUAGUCGUCUUGGUCAUCCCUUUUCAGUCAUAGUUAAGCAUGUCCUUAGCAAGAAUAAUCUUCCCUAUGAGUCUAGUGUUGAGUCAAUUUGUGAUGCUUGCCAGCAAGCUAAGAGUCAUCAGCUACCCUAUCCCAUAUCUACAAGUGUAUCAACUGCUCCAUUGCAGUUAAUUUUUUCAGAUGUAUGGGGACCAGCUCCCACAUCAGUUGGCAGAUUUUCCUAUUAUGUUAGUUUC